GCUUAACCGAAGAAGUGCAUCGGAAACUGGGGAACUUGAGUGCAGAAGAGGACAGUGGAACUCCAUGUGUAGCGGUGGAAUGCGUAGAUAUAUGGAAGAACACCAGUGGCGAAGGCGGCUGUCUAGUCUGCAACUGACGCUGAGGCUCGAAAGCAUGGGUAGCGAACAGGAUUAGAUACCCUGGUAGUCCAUGCCGUAAACGAUGAGUGCUAGGUGUUGGAGGGUUUCCGCCCUUCAGUGCCGCAGCUAACGCAUUAAGCACUCCGCCUGGGGAGUACGACCGCAAGAUUGAAACUCAAAGGAAUUGACGGGGGCCCGCACAAGCGGUGGAGCAUGUGGUUUAAUUCGAAGCUACGCGAAGAACCUUACCAGGUCUUGACAUCUUCUGCCAAUCUUAGAGAUAAGACGUUCCCUUCGGGGACAGAAUGACAGGUGGUGCAUGGUUGUCGUCAGCUCGUGUCGUGAGAUGUUGGGUUAAGUCCCGCAACGAGCGCAACCCUUAUUAUCAGUUGCCAGCAUUCAGUUGGGCACUCUGGUGAGACUGCCGGUGACAAACCGGAGGAAGGUGGGGAUGACGUCAAAUCAUCAUGCCCCUUAUGACCUGGGCUACACACGUGCUACAAUGGACGGUACAACG
RNAcentral lists this ribosomal RNA (637 nucleotides) under uncultured bacterium. RNAcentral describes it as "bacterial SSU rRNA". It matches the Rfam family "Bacterial small subunit ribosomal RNA", at positions 607 to 1244 of the family's 1533-position model. The record is from RNAcentral.